AUUGAACGCUGGCGGUAUGCUUAACACAUGCAAGUCGAACGGUAACAGGUCUUUCGGGAUGCUGACGAGUGGCGGACGGGUGAGUAACGCGUAGGAAUUUGCCUGCUAGAGAGGGACAACCUGGGGAAACUUAGGCUAAUACCUCAUAAUGUCUACGGAUUAAAGUAUGGGACCUUCGGGCCAUACGCUAGCAGAUGAGCCUGCGUUGGAUUAGCUUGUUGGUGGGGUAAAGGCCUACCAAGGCGAUGAUCCAUAGCUGGUCUGAGAGGAUGAUCAGCCACACUGGGACUGAGACACGGCCCAG
This 304-nucleotide ribosomal RNA is filed under the name uncultured bacterium. Its description in RNAcentral is "bacterial SSU rRNA". It matches the Rfam family "Bacterial small subunit ribosomal RNA", at positions 30 to 334 of the family's 1533-position model. The record is from RNAcentral.